This 406-nucleotide unclassified non-coding RNA is filed under the name soil metagenome. RNAcentral's name for it is "partial contains 5.8S ribosomal RNA, internal transcribed spacer 2, and large subunit ribosomal RNA". The stretch from base 1 to 121 matches the Rfam family "5.8S ribosomal RNA", at positions 35 to 154 of the family's 154-position model. The record is from RNAcentral.
GAUGAAGAACGUAGCGAAAUGCGAUAAGUAAUGUGAAUUGCAGAAUUCAGUGAAUCAUCGAAUCUUUGAACGCACCUUGCGCCCUUUGGCCAUUCCGAAGGGCAUGCCUGUUUGAGUAUCAUGAACACCUCAACUCUUCAUGGUUUUCCGUGAUGAGCUUGGACUUUGGGGGUCUUGCUGGCCUAUGGUCAGCUCCUCUAAAAUAAAUCAGCUUGCCAGUGUUUGGUGGGUAUCACAGGUGUGAUAACUAUCUACGCUUGUGGUUUUCCACCAGGUAACCUUCAGCAGUGGAGGUUCGCUGGAGCUCACAGAUGUGUCUCUCCUCAGUGAGGACAGCUCUUUGAAUGUUUGAUCUCAAAUCAGGUAGGACUACCCGCUGAACUUAAGCAUAGCAAUAAGCGGAGGA